ACGCCGCGUGGAGGAUGACGGUCUUCGGAUUGUAAACUCCUGUCAUCCGGGAGAAAGACCUGGCCGUUAAUAGCGGACAGGGUUGAUAGUACCGGAAGAGGAAGGGACGGCUAACUUCGUGCCAGCAACUGCGGUGACUGAGCGGGCUGGCAAGGCGCAUA
This 161-nucleotide ribosomal RNA is filed under the name uncultured bacterium. RNAcentral's name for it is "partial 16S ribosomal RNA". It matches the Rfam family "Bacterial small subunit ribosomal RNA", at positions 394 to 539 of the family's 1533-position model. The record is from RNAcentral.